AUUGAACGCUGGCGGCAUGCUUUACACAUGCAAGUCGAACGGCAGCACGGGCUUCGGCCUGGUGGCGAGUGGCGAACGGGUGAGUAAUAUAUCGGAACGUACCCAGAAGUGGGGGAUAACGUAGCGAAAGUUACGCUAAUACCGCAUACGAUCUAUGGAUGAAAGCAGGGGACCGCAAGGCCUUGUGCUCCUGGAGCGGCCGAUAUCUGAUUAGCUAGUUGGUGAGGUAAAGGCUCACCAAGGCGACGAUCAGUAGCUGGUCUGAGAGGACGACCAGCCACACUGGAACUGAGACACGGUCCAGACUCCUACGGGAGGCAGCAGUGGGGAAUUUUGGACAAUGGGCGCAAGCCUGAUCCAGCAAUGCCGCGUGAGUGAAGAAGGCCUUCGGGUUGUAAAGCGCUUUUGUCAGGGAAGAAACGGUAGAGGCUAAUAUCCUUUGCUAAUGACGGUACCGGAAGAAUAAGCACCGGCUAACUACGU
This 483-nucleotide ribosomal RNA is filed under the name uncultured bacterium. Its description in RNAcentral is "partial 16S ribosomal RNA". It matches the Rfam family "Bacterial small subunit ribosomal RNA", at positions 30 to 506 of the family's 1533-position model. The record is from RNAcentral.